Molecule: long non-coding RNA, 280 nt
Organism: Heterocephalus glaber (naked mole-rat)
Lineage: Eukaryota; Metazoa; Chordata; Mammalia; Rodentia; Bathyergidae
Source: Ensembl
UAGCAUUUAUGUCAGCUGUGGUCAUUUGGAGUGUUUUGGCUCAGAAUGUCCUUAUGUUUUCAAAGCCACCCCUUGCCAGAUCCAUGGAUAGAGGUCUUCCCAUCACAGAAGACUAUGGCAAGGGAAGAUCCCAUCCUUCCUUACCUUUUCUUUCUCCGAAGUUCAAUGGAUGUAUGCCACUAAUUCUCCCAAAACAACUCUACAUUUCCUGGGCUGAAGACACUGAGUAACUGAAUUGUUCCCAAGAUUUAAAGAGCAUCAUGAUCUUCUCUGUUGGAUC